UACAGAGGUCCCGAGCGUUGUUCGGAUUCAUUGGGCGUAAAGGGUGCGUAGGCGGCAUGGCAAGUCGGGUGUGAAAUCCCGGGGCUCAACCCCGGAACUGCACUCGAUACUGUCGUGCUCGAGUGUUGGAGAGGAGACUGGAAUUUACGGUGUAGCAGUGAAAUGCGUAGAUAUCGUAAGGAAGACCGGUGGCGAAAGCUAGUCUCUGGACAACUACUGACGCUGAGGCACGAAGGCCAGGGGAGCAAACGGG
Molecule: ribosomal RNA, 253 nt
Filed under: uncultured bacterium
Lineage: Bacteria
Description: partial 16S ribosomal RNA
Rfam family: Bacterial small subunit ribosomal RNA
Source: RNAcentral